AACGCAUAUUGCGCUCUUUGGUAUUCCGAAGAGCAUGCUUGUUUGAGUAUCAGUAAACACCUCAAAACUUUUUGAUUUUUUUUUUAAAAGAAAAAAGUUUUGGACUUGAGCAAUCCCAACACCAAUCUUUUAUAGAUCGGCGGCGGGUUGCUUGAAAUGCAGGUGCAGCUGGACAUUCUCCUGAGCUAAAAGCAUAUUUAUUUAGUCCCGUCAAACGGAUUAUUACUUUUGCUGCAGCUAAUAUAAAGGGAGUUUGACCGUAUUGGCUGACUGAUGCAGGAUUUCACAAGGGUCGGCAACGAUUCUUGUAAAACUCGAUCUCAAAUCAAGUAAGACUACCCGCUGAACUUAA
This 352-nucleotide unclassified non-coding RNA is filed under the name uncultured Mortierella. RNAcentral's name for it is "sequence contains ITS2". Lineage: Eukaryota; Fungi; Mortierellomycota; Mortierellomycetes; Mortierellales; Mortierellaceae. The record is from RNAcentral.